CCUACGGGAGGCAGCAGUGGGGGAUAUUGCACAAUGGGGGAAACCCUGAUGCAGCGACGCCGCGUGUGGGAAGACGGUCUUCUGGAUUGUAAACCACUGUCCCCAGGGACGAAAAUGCCGGUACCUGGGGAGGAAGCUCCGGCUAACUACGUGCCAGCAGCCGCGGUAAUACGUAGGGAGCAAGAGUUGUCCGGAAUUACGGGGUGUAAAGGGAGCGUAGGCGGGGAUGGAAGUUGGGUGUCAAAACUACCGGCUCAACCGGUAGUCGAACUCAAAACUGCAACUCUUGAGUGAAGUAGAGGCAGGCGGAAUUCCUAGUGUAGCGGUGAAAUGCGUAGAUAUUAGGAGGAACACCAGUGGCGAAGGCGGCCUGCUGGGCUUUUACUGACGCUGAGGCUCGAAAGUGUGGGGAGCAAACAGGAUUAGAUACCCCAGUAGUC
RNAcentral lists this ribosomal RNA (440 nucleotides) under uncultured bacterium. Its description in RNAcentral is "partial 16S ribosomal RNA". It matches the Rfam family "Bacterial small subunit ribosomal RNA", at positions 338 to 795 of the family's 1533-position model. The record is from RNAcentral.